GGAGCAGGCCUGUCUGUGCACCCAUUCAUGCAACAGUCGCGUGGGCUUUCAACACAUUGGUUAUUGGACUUGUUGAGAGAGAGAACCACUAGGAGCCCUGUGAGGAGGGAAUGGCGCCUUUGGAGCUGGCAGCUGGGAGAUAGUUCAUCUGAGGUUCCCGUGAAAGGCCAGAUUUGCAGGAUGCAGAAAAUGAGGUGUCCAUAUAGCACCUGCUGUGGUCAGGAGGUGAGGUGUGUGCAGCCCCUGUGUGGUCGGGAGGUGAGGUGUGUGUGCAGCACCUGUGUGGUCAGGAGGUGAGGUGUGUGUGCAGCCCCUGUGUGGUCGGGAGGUGAGGUGUGUGUGCAGCACCUGUGUGGUCAGGAGGUGAGGUGUGUGUGCAGCCCCUGUGUGGUCGGGAGGUGAGGUGUGUGUGCAGCACCUGUGCGGUCGGGAGGUGAGGUGUGUGUGCAGCACCUGUGCGGUCGGGAGGUGAGG
Molecule: long non-coding RNA, 474 nt
Organism: Erinaceus europaeus (western European hedgehog)
Lineage: Eukaryota; Metazoa; Chordata; Mammalia; Eulipotyphla; Erinaceidae
Exons: 4
Source: RefSeq, a predicted model, not a curated record